This 550-nucleotide long non-coding RNA is filed under the name Bos taurus (domestic cattle). RNAcentral's name for it is "long non-coding RNA NONBTAT002721". The record is from RNAcentral. Lineage: Eukaryota; Metazoa; Chordata; Mammalia; Artiodactyla; Bovidae.
UGUGUGAAGGGCUGACCUGGCCUAGAUGCUAAGGGGAUUCCCCUCAUGCUAUAGGGCAAGUAUUAGCUGGUGCUGACAUUGCAGCUAUAGUCCCCCCAUUUUCAAUAGAGACACAAUAGACAUGGGUCCCUUCUUUCUUCCCAAACAAGGAGUGGGUAAUAUUUCUACUAACUUUUCAGCUAAGAACCUCCCUUAGAGGCAGUACUUGUAUGUGUAUAUUCCCACAGCUUCACAGUUGCAGCUUCAGUAGUAUUUCAGAACUAAUACAACCAUUGUUAUUUUUGAUAACCUCAUAAAAGAAACUAAAACAGAAAAGGCGAGUAUGUGAUAUACUGUGAAAAUUAUUAAAAGUUUUUCAUAAGCAACAUUAAUGCCCUCUUGUAGUUUUAAACAUUAUUUUUCAUACUCCCAAGACUCUAAGAAGGGUACAUCGCUGCUUCAGGAAAUUUUGAAACAUAAUCCUUUAUAUCCUUUAUGUCAGGUUACAGUCUGCUAAGGAAAUCUGAAUAAAAAGAAAAAACUGGUAUUAGUGGAUUAAAGCCAUAGAUCA